GAAUUGAGUGGCAAACGGGUGAGUAACACGUAAACAACCUGCCUUCAGGAUGGGGACAACAGACGGAAACGACUGCUAAUACCGAAUAAGUUCCAAGAGCCGCAUGGCCCAUGGAAGAAAAGGUGGCCUCUACCUGUAAGCUAUCGCCUGAAGAGGGGUUUGCGUCUGAUUAGCUGGUUGGAGGGGUAACGGCCCACCAAGGCGACGAUCAGUAGCCGGUCUGAGAGGAUGAACGGCCACACUGGAACUGAGACACGGUCCAGACUCCUACGGGAGGCAGCAGUGGGGAAUCUUCCGCAAUGGGCGAAAGCCUGACGGAGCAACGCCGCGUGAGUGAUGACGGCCUUCGGGUUGUAAAACUCUGUGAUCCGGGACGAAAAGGCAGAGUGCGAAGAACAAACUGCAUUGACGGUACCGGAAAAGCAAGCCACGGCUAACUACGUGCCAGCAGCCGCGGUAAUACGUAGGUGGCAAGCGUUGUCCGGAAUUAUUGGGCGUAAAGCGCGCGCAGGCGGCUUCCCAAGUCCCUCUUAAAAGUGCGGGGCUUAACCCCGUGAUGGGAAGGAAACUGGGAAGCUGGAGUAUCGGAGAGGAAAGUGGAAUUCCUAGUGUAGCGGUGAAAUGCGUAGAGAUUAGGAAGAACA
Molecule: ribosomal RNA, 644 nt
Filed under: uncultured Peptococcaceae bacterium
Lineage: Bacteria; Bacillati; Bacillota; Clostridia; Eubacteriales; Peptococcaceae
Description: bacterial SSU rRNA
Rfam family: Bacterial small subunit ribosomal RNA
Source: RNAcentral